GUGCUUGCUUUGGCAGCACAUAUACUAAAAUUGGAAGGAUACAGAGAAGAUUAGCCUGGCCCCUGCGUGAAAAUGUUCGCCUGGGACUUGGCCAAAGCUGUC
Molecule: small nuclear RNA, 102 nt
Organism: Erinaceus europaeus (western European hedgehog)
Lineage: Eukaryota; Metazoa; Chordata; Mammalia; Eulipotyphla; Erinaceidae
Source: Ensembl